UUUCCAUGCAGGUUCAGCCACUCUAACCCCACUUCUCGUUCCACCCUCAUACUUAUUAUUAUAUUAUAUAGUCGAAAAAUAAAAUAAUCGAAGCAUCACCCUCAUCCAACCCUUGUAUAAAUACUCCUCCUCGCUUCGACAUGAUUCACAACUUAAACAAAGCGAGAAGCUACCUCAACUUUCUCCUUUCCUCUUCCUCAGUCUCAGACUCUCAGCCUUGAGCUCAGCUACAAUGGCAUCGUUCUUCGCUUCUAAGACAGCUCUUCUUCCAAAGCUCUUCCUCGCCCUCUGCCUCCUCCAGAUGGCCUCCGCCACCAGGAGGCUGGCCGAGCUGGUCCAAGACCAGUCCCCGCCCAUGAAGUACCACAAUGGCCCUCUCCUCUCUGGCAAGAUCUCCAUCAACCUCAUCUGGUACGGCCGCUUCAAGCCCUCCCAGCGCACCAUCGUCUCCGACUUCGUCACCUCCCUCUCCUCCGACCCUUCUUUGGCUCAGGCCCCUCCUUCCGUCUCCCAGUGGUGGAAGACGGUCGACAAGUACUACCACCUCUCCUCCUCCAAGAGGCACGCUCCCUCUCUCAGGCUCUCCCUCGGGAGGCAAGUCCUCGACGAGAGCUACUCGCUAGGGAAGUCCCUCACGAGCAAGCACCUCGUCGAGCUCGCGUCCCGGGGCGAACAGCGGAACGCCAUCAACGUCGUUCUCACCUCCUCCGACGUGGCCGUCGAGGGAUUCUGCAUGAGCCGGUGCGGCUCCCACGACUCCGCCGUCGGUUCCGUCAAGGUCAAGGGCAGGAGCUCGAGGUUCGCGUACAUCUGGGUGGGCAACUCGGAGACGCAGUGCCCGGGGCAGUGCGCGUGGCCGUUCCACCAGCCCCUGUACGGCCCGCAGAGCCCCCCGUUGGUGGCGCCCAACGGGGACGUCGGCGUCGACGGGAUGGUGAUCAACCUUGCAGGCCUCCUCGCCGGGACCGCCACGAACCCGUUCUCAAACGGGUACUACCAGGGCGAGGCGGGGGCGUCGCUGGAGGCGGCGUCAGCGUGCACCGGGAUCUACGCCAAUGGGGCAUACCCUGGCUACGCCGGGAACUUGCUGGUGGAGGAGGCGACGGGGGCGAGCUACAACGCGCACGGCGUGAACGGGAGGAAGUACCUGGUCCCGGCUCUCUACGAUCCGUCCACGUCGUCGUGUUCGACUCUGGUGUGAGUGAAGUGGCGACAGAUAGAAACUAUGACGUUUAGGCUACCAAAUUAAUUCAUUCAUUUGUUUAUUGGUUCUGCAGUUCCUCUAUAUUAUUGUCAUUAUAUUUAAUGAAAAAGGCAAACUACUUUUAUUUGCUACAAUUACGUGAGCCAUGGAAAAUCAACCGGACAAAAUCCACUCUUAAUCUGAGGAGUUCAGCUCUUCACUCACAGAAAUCAAUAAACCGACCGGGCUAAUUACACCAUUUGUGGAAGAAAAGAUAAUUACGUAGUGAAAUUACCCAUUUAGUUUUUAAGGGAACAGAUGGAGGGGCUUAGGUCGACGGAGCGUGAGAAAUCCAUUAUUAAUACUGGCGUAAGUCAUUGGUUAUGGCAAAAGGCACAUGGGAUGAGAACUUUUUCUUUUCUAAGUGAAGGUGCUGCAUAUGACACGAACGUUAUUUAACUUAACAGCAACCCCAAAUGAUUAUAACUUUAUGGUUUAUUCAAAUUAUUCCUAUUAGGUGCUCAUCGUGGUGAAAAUAGUUAAGUUGUUAUAUAUGGUUUCUAAGGGACAAGGUGCGAUGCUCCUCACAGACCCCCAGGGAGACAUCUGAAAUGAGUCAUUUCUUACAAAUGUGGCUUGACCACGGCUAACUUUCUUAUAUUCAUGUAAAUUAAUCUUAUACUUAACUACACUUGAGGUGGGAGCUUUUAUCAUACCGUGAGUCAAGCAACUAGUCACUUACAUUAACCAUUGGAUGAAGCCCAUAUUACAUCAUACUCCUUCAAUUUACCAGUCAAGAAAUAAUAAUAUAGAAUAUAGAUUUGAGGAAUUUUUGUAUAUAGUUCGAUGUCUAGAAAAGAGUAUAUAGAGAGCUUAAAUUUUAACUUUAAUAGAUGAUUAUUUAAGGAAACUAUAUUAGAUAUGGAUUAUUAGAAUAGAUAUAGAAAAUUAUAGAAAAUAUCCUAAAUAUCUUUAAAUAUUAACUUUGAUAGAUGAUUAUUUAAGGAAACUAUAUUAGAUAUGGAUUAUUAGAAUAGAUAUAGAAAAUUAGAGAAAAUAUCCUAAAUAUCUCUAGAAGAAAUCAACACAUGUCUAACAUCCAAUUUCAAACUCACAAGGACUAAUUCAACUUGAGUUUGAAAUCAAAUUAAAUCACAUCCGGCGAUUGAGAUGUGGCGAAUGAGGUGGCUUCUACGUUGUUUGUGGUGAAACUCCCAAAUCUAGCUAAUUUGAGGGAGGCAAGUUUGAUGGUGGUUUUGACUUUACAAAAUGAUGCAGGUUGAGAAUUGGAGGGCAAAAUGCUAGCUGCUAUUGUGGCUAGCUUGCAGAAUGGUAACUGACCGAUAUGGCUAGUACAACUAGUGUCGCAACAUCAGGCGACUUAUAUGAUAGGCUUGGGAAAAUAGUUACUAAGUGAUGUGACCUCUCCAACUACCAUAGAAAAAGCCACCUUAGUGAUAAAGGUUCAAUUGGGCAAUGCGAGCGGCACAAUUGGUGUGGAAUGGAUUGGAUUAAGUGUUUCCUCAAAUUAGACUUAUAUGUAUGAAGUGAAAACUGUUGACUGUUGAGCAGUAGGGAUGGAUGAUUUAUUUGGGUGUACAUUAGGGUGCUUGGGGAGCAUGGGUGUAUCAAUGCAAAGUGUACCUAGUGUACUAGGGUUGCCUUAGCAAAGAGGUUCUAAUACCAAGUCAAAAAUGAAAAAAACCCCAAAUUAUUAUAGACGUACUAAAUGUACUUUCCAAUAUUUUUUCGUUAAAUUUUACCAUAAAAAAACUGAGUUAAAUGACAUGUGAUAAUUGACAAGUGUACCAGCUCAAGGGUUUACUCUUCAUUUGUUACAGAUGUAUCAAUUUAUGAUUUUUCGUGAUAUUAAUUCAAUUUAAUAAAAAUUAACGAAGGUAAAUUUCUCAUAAAUAUAUCAGUUUGAGGUUUAAAAAAUUAAUUUUGGAUAAAUUUAUCAUUGGUGUACAAUUUUGGGGUUUUUAAUGAUAAAAAAAAUUAAUUCAAGGUAAAUUUGUCAUAGUGUACUAAUUUGGAGUUUUUCAUGAUAUUAAACUAAAAUAAUAAUGCAGAAGAUAGAUUUGAGGAAGUUCUUUAUAUAGUUCGAUUUAUAGAAAAUAGUACAUGAAGAUUUUAUUUAUAGACUUUAAUAGAUGACUAUGUAAGGAAAAGGGAUUAGAUAUGCACAAUCGAAAUAGAUAAAAAAAAAAUCAGAAAUAAUUUCUUAAAUAUUACUAAAAGAUAUAUGCAUUUCUCUAACAUCACCAUUGAUCCACCGCUGCAAUAAUUGUUAACGAUGUUUAUAAUUUUCAGGAAAAUUUGUGUCGAUUAAUGAUAGACAUCGAAACUCGGACAUGAGAUCCAUGGCAUGGCAUGCUCAAAAGAGCUGCGUCGCUAAACCUAUAAAAAAUGUGGAUUCGCACUUAGCUAACACGCCCAUCCUUGACAAUUAGCUCCACCGCCACCACCAACUAGCGUGUCUCCUUCUCGCGACCCAAGAGGCAGGCCACUGAUUGGUUUCGUUCUCUCGGUCAAAACUCUUGUUUUUCCCUUAGCUGUUAAUGCCCUGUAAUGAAAUGUAUAACUGUUGGACCGAGAGUUUUGACUUUUUGCCAACGAAAACAAUUCAUUAACAAGCAAAUGUGUCAAAUCAAGUUGGCCUCUCUUUCCUUUACUUCACCAUUCUCUCCUCACUACCAUCCUCUCACCUUCCCCCUCUCUUGCCAAAUCUAACUUCAUUUCUUUCGCUCAGCUACUCCUAAGGGCUCCAAUCGGCCUUCUCUUUCUCAUUUCUACCCAUCAUAUUAAUCAGACCUGUGUGUUCUAUCUUGGGCAAUCUUCUCAAUGGGGGGUUUUGUAUAUGCAUGUUUUUCCUAUAUAGAAAUAUUCACAGUGUGGUCCCUUUUGCGAUCCAUUACCUUGGAUUUUUUUACUAAAGAGCUGAACCAUAAAAUUGAAAUUGGUCGAAAACUUGGUUGGAUCUUGGUUCGAGAAAAGGAUACAAUUUGACCUUGGGGAUCCUAUUUAGAUUUAUACCAUUGAGUAUAACAAAAUCUCAAUUGGAUCGUGGAUCGAGUUAAACACUCUUGUAACCUUAGUUUAUUUUAUUUUAUUUUAUUUUAUUUAUUUGGCUGCAUGUGCUCAGUUAUGAAUAAUAUGGAUGACGUGUCAUAUGCUAGUGCAAGAGUUUAGGUGAUUUUAGGACAAACCCAAGCUUUUGGUCACACCACUCAAUUCCCACGCGUUACAUUAUCCCUUUCGCUUUACUCAUCCCAUAUAUUUAUCAUUGGUCAACCAAGGCCACUAUUGGUAAUAAAUAAAUAAAAACCAAGACUGCCGCGUAGCGCAAAACUCACGAGUGUGGCCCAGCGGGGGCCUCCAAUAUGAUGGAGUACCAUCGACCACCUCUGAAAAAGUCGUCCUAACAGCGUAAAUGCAAUGAUAAUUGAACGCCUAGUCGAGCACCAGUUGUCAUUUGUUAAUCUUGCUGGUGAAGAUGCAACUGGGAAUGGCAAUACCACAUCAUCUCCUCCAAAUUUAAUUAUUACAUUCAUGAGCUGCCCUCCUUUGUCUCUUUCCAGGCAGGUUCCGGCACUUUAACCCCACUUCUACGUUCCCAACUUCAUAUCUAUUUAUUAUUAUAUUAUAUAGUCGUAAAAUAAAAUAAUCGAAGCAUCACCCCAUCCCCAACCUUCUAUAAAUACUCCUCGCUUCGACACAACCCACAAUUUCAACAAAGCGAGAAGCUACCUCAGCUUUCACCUUUCCUCUUUCCUCAGUCUCAGCCAAAACUCAGCU
This 4981-nucleotide long non-coding RNA is filed under the name Eucalyptus grandis. RNAcentral describes it as "long non-coding RNA (EGRA_LNC003477)". The record is from RNAcentral. Lineage: Eukaryota; Viridiplantae; Streptophyta; Magnoliopsida; Myrtales; Myrtaceae.